This 253-nucleotide ribosomal RNA is filed under the name uncultured bacterium. RNAcentral's name for it is "partial 16S ribosomal RNA". It matches the Rfam family "Bacterial small subunit ribosomal RNA", at positions 524 to 776 of the family's 1533-position model. The record is from RNAcentral.
UACGUAGGGUGCAAGCGUUGUCCGGAAUUAUUGGGCGUAAAGAGCUCGUGGGCGGUCUGUCGCGUCUGCUGUGAAAAUCCAGGGCUCAACCCUGGACCUGCAGUGGGUACGGGCAGACUAGAGUGCGGUAGGGGAGAUCGGAAUUCCUGGUGUAGCGGUGAAAUGCGCAGAUAUCAGGAGGAACACCGGUGGCGAAGGCGGAUCUCUGGGCCGUAACUGACGCUGAGGAGCGAAAGCAUGGGGAGCGAACAGG